CCCAAAGAGGACAGGGUGUCCCCAGGGAGGGCGAGACCACCGUCUACUCUGACCUCAGGACAUGUCUUGUGCAGGGGGCAGCACAGCUCAGACUGACCCAGUGUUCACUGUAAUAGGAGAUUACUGGCUGUUCAAUGUGCUGCUUAUUCUGUGUGAUGGACAGACACUGUACUGGGUGGGCUCCUGAGAAGACUGCCGAACCCAGAAGAGGGAAUGUAAUUAGAGAGGAGGGACAGUGAGGAGCCCCGACGCCCACAUCCUCUCCCAUCGGCUCCAUCUCUCCGGUCGUGUCGUCUGGACAUCGGACUCCAGGAUCUCGGGGAAGGUUCCCUCCUCCCAGCCCGGCUCAGGCCUGAGGAGUCUGGGAGAUCUGGGAGAAGCCAACAGGAAGAAACUCCUCCUGGACCUCGACUCUGGGAGGAGCCCCAGUGCCCGGAACCCCGAAGACUCGGGCUGGCCAGGAGGGAGGAGCCCAGUGCCUGGACCCCCCAAAGACUCAGGCUGACCAGGAGGAGCCCUGGGGUAUCAGAAUAAGGAGGAGGAGGACCCCAGUGGUGCCACAACAAUGAAGAGGAGCCCAGGGGUGUCGGAACCCCCCAAACAAGGAGAGGAAGGGAUAAGAGAGCCUGUGGACAACACGCCUGUGUCUUUCCAGGAUGGGUCACCAGAACAGCAGCUCUGGACCGGAGCAGUCGGGACUCGGUGGAGCACAGGCUGCCUUCAGGCAUGUUUAUUCCCAACAGGAGCCAGGUCAGACCCUGUACCACGCAGGAGAGGGCACCCCCAGACCUGCAGUUAGAAGUCCAGAGGGUGUUCUCGACCGGUCAGCACAGGAGGGGACAGGGUACCCCAUCAGCACUGAAGGGCACGAGGCGCCAGGCAGACUCCGAGGGGACAGAGUAGGAGUCGUCUCGGGGAGACAUCCAGGGUGUCCCGAUCUCCUGCCUACUGGAGCCUGUG
Lepisosteus oculatus (spotted gar) is the source of this 960-nucleotide non-coding RNA. The record is from RefSeq and is a predicted model, not a curated record. Lineage: Eukaryota; Metazoa; Chordata; Actinopteri; Semionotiformes; Lepisosteidae.